This 486-nucleotide ribosomal RNA is filed under the name Staphylococcus aureus. RNAcentral's name for it is "partial 23S ribosomal RNA". It matches the Rfam family "Bacterial large subunit ribosomal RNA", at positions 683 to 1167 of the family's 2925-position model. The record is from RNAcentral. Lineage: Bacteria; Bacillati; Bacillota; Bacilli; Caryophanales; Staphylococcaceae.
CUGAAUAGGGCGUUUAGUAUUUGGUCGUAGACCCGAAACCAGGUGAUCUACCCUUGGUCAGGUUGAAGUUCAGGUAACACUGAAUGGAGGACCGAACCGACUUACGUUGAAAAGUGAGCGGAUGAACUGAGGGUAGCGGAGAAAUUCCAAUCGAACCUGGAGAUAGCUGGUUCUCUCCGAAAUAGCUUUAGGGCUAGCCUCAAGUGAUGAUUAUUGGAGGUAGAGCACUGUUUGGACGAGGGGCCCCUCUCGGGUUACCGAAUUCAGACAAACUCCGAAUGCCAAUUAAUUUAACUUGGGAGUCAGAACAUGGGUGAUAAGGUCCGUGUUCGAAAGGGAAACAGCCCAGACCACCAGCUAAGGUCCCAAAAUAUAUGUUAAGUGGAAAAGGAUGUGGCGUUGCCCAGACAACUAGGAUGUUGGCUUAGAAGCAGCCAUCAUUUAAAGAGUGCGUAAUAGCUCACUAGUCGAGUGACACUGCGCCGA